CCUACGGGGUGCAGCAGUGAGGAAUUUUCGUCAAUGGGCGCAAGCCUGAACGAGCGAUGCCGCGUGAGUGAAGAAGGCCUUCGGGUCGUAAAGCUCUGUUGCGGGGGAAAAAAGGCAGCAUCAGGAAAUGGGUGCUGACUGAUGGUGCCCCGCCAGAAAGUCACGGCUAACUACGUGCCAGCAGCCGCGGUAAUACGUAGGUGGCGAGCGUUAUCCGGAAGGAUUGGGCGUAAAGGGUGCGCAGGCGGUCCUGCACGUCUGGAGUGAAACGCAUGAGCUCAACUCAUGCAUGGCUUUGGAAACUGGAGGACGGGAGAGCAGGAGAGGGCGGUGGAACUCCAUGUGUAGCGGUAAAAGGCGUAUAUAUAUGGAAGAACACCAGUGGCGAAGGCGGCCGCCUGGCCUGUUGCUGACGCUGAGGCACGAAAGCGUGGGGAGCAAAUAGGAUUAGAUACCCGGGUAGUC
RNAcentral lists this ribosomal RNA (465 nucleotides) under uncultured bacterium. RNAcentral describes it as "partial 16S ribosomal RNA". It matches the Rfam family "Bacterial small subunit ribosomal RNA", at positions 338 to 795 of the family's 1533-position model. The record is from RNAcentral.